RNAcentral lists this small RNA (28 nucleotides) under Bombyx mori (domestic silkworm). RNAcentral describes it as "ovarian small RNA-36009". Lineage: Eukaryota; Metazoa; Arthropoda; Insecta; Lepidoptera; Bombycidae. The record is from RNAcentral.
UGUUACGUGAUCGUAUCGUAUGCGGUGU